This 429-nucleotide ribosomal RNA is filed under the name uncultured bacterium. RNAcentral describes it as "bacterial SSU rRNA". It matches the Rfam family "Bacterial small subunit ribosomal RNA", at positions 949 to 1380 of the family's 1533-position model. The record is from RNAcentral.
AUUCGAUUAACGCGAAGAACCUUACCGGGUCUUGACAUCUUCUGCUAACCUAAGAGAUUAGGCGUUCCCUUCGGGGACGAAAUGACAGGUGGUGCAUGGUUGUCGUCAGCUCGUGUCGUGAGAUGUUGGGUUAAGUCCCGCAACGAGCGCAACCCUUAUGACUAGUUGCCAGCAUUUAGUUGGGCACUCUAGUAAGACUGCCGGUGACAAACCGGAGGAAGGUGGGGAUGACGUCAAAUCAUCAUGCCCCUUAUGACCUGGGCUACACACGUGCUACAAUGGAUGGUACAACGAGUUGCGAGACCGCGAGGUCAAGCUAAUCUCUUAAAGCCAUUCUCAGUUCGGACUGUAGGCUGCAACUCGCCUACACGAAGUCGGAAUCGCUAGUAAUCGCGGAUCAGCACGCCGCGGUGAAUACGUUCCCGGGUC